This 862-nucleotide unclassified non-coding RNA is filed under the name uncultured Prochlorococcus sp. RNAcentral describes it as "partial 16S-23S ribosomal RNA intergenic spacer; may also contain 16S ribosomal RNA and 23S ribosomal RNA". The stretch from base 1 to 93 matches the Rfam family "Bacterial small subunit ribosomal RNA", at positions 1441 to 1533 of the family's 1533-position model. The record is from RNAcentral. Lineage: Bacteria; Bacillati; Cyanobacteriota; Cyanophyceae; Synechococcales; Prochlorococcaceae.
UUGUGGAGGAGGACGCCGAAGGUGGGGCUGAUGACUGGGGUGAAGUCGUAACAAGGUAGCCGUACCGGAAGGUGCGGCUGGAUCACCUCCUAACAGGGAGACAAACAAUUGAUCGUGAUGUCUGAGUUUUUAGUACUUAGGCCAUGAUCCUGUCACCUUAGGUCGAUCGGUACCUCAUUUAGAUUCAAAAUAAAUUUUAUUUUGGUUUUGAAUCAGUUCCUAAACUUGUCUAGGUCACACCCAACAAGGGUACUCCUGGGCCAUUAGCUCAGGUGGUUAGAGCGCAUCCCUGAUAAGGGUGAGGUCCCUGGUUCAAGUCCAGGAUGACCCAUUCGUGUUGGGGGUAUAGCUCAGUUGGUAGAGCGCCUGCUUUGCAAGCAGGAUGUCAGCGGUUCGAGUCCGCUUACCUCCACUGAUCAACCUCCUGACAGCGAAGUUUAAGGAGUUUUUAAAGUGAUCUAGAAUUUGUUCUCUUUGAAUGAACCUAGCUUCUUAUCAUUCUGGCUAAUUUUAUUGCUGGGUUGAUAUGACGCUGGGCUCACUGCAAUUAAAAAUUGCAGGAAAGUUCAGUAGAACCUUGACAACUGCAUAGGUGAGUUUGGAAAAGAAUAAAGCAUCUCAUGGAUGCAUUAUUUCGGAACUAUUCUUUUGCUUUUAAAAGGAAGCAUUAGGCUUGGUUUUGAAUUUAAUGUGUAAUUCUUGAGCAAGAGCCGAGACUCUAUAGAGUUCUUUUAUCUCAAUUGAAAGGGGUGAGAGUUUGAUCUUUAAUUUCUUGCAUUUAUUAAAUUAUUUGCGAUUGAAUUGAAGAGAAAAGUGUUAACAACACAAGGCUCUAUAGAGGUAUUAAAUGGUCAAGCUACAA